Molecule: ribosomal RNA, 327 nt
Filed under: uncultured eukaryote
Lineage: Eukaryota
Description: partial 18S ribosomal RNA
Rfam family: Eukaryotic small subunit ribosomal RNA
Source: RNAcentral
CCCUUAGAUGUCCUGGGCCGCACGCGCGUUACACUGAUGCAUUCAACGAGCUUAUAACCUUGGCCGAGAGGCCUGGGCAAUCUUGUUAACGUGCAUCGUGAUAGGGAUAGAUUAUUGAAAUUAUUAAUCUUGAACGAGGAAUUCCUAGUAAACGCAGAUCAUCAAUCUGCAUUGAUUACGUCCUGCCCUUUGUACACACCGCCCGUCGCACCUACCGAUUGGAUGGUCCGGUGAAGCCUCGGGAUUGUGGUUCUUGCCGCUUUAUUGUGGCGUGACCGCGAGAACUUGUCUAAACCUUAUCAUCUAGAGGAAGGUGAAGUCGUAACA